Molecule: transfer RNA, 72 nt
Filed under: Phrynosoma platyrhinos (Desert horned lizard)
Lineage: Eukaryota; Metazoa; Chordata; Lepidosauria; Squamata; Phrynosomatidae
Description: tRNA-OTHER
Rfam family: tRNA
About the family: Transfer RNA (tRNA) molecules are approximately 80 nucleotides in length. Their secondary structure includes four short double-helical elements and three loops (D, anti-codon, and T loops).
Source: RNAcentral
GGCAGUGUGGCAUAGUGGUUUGAGCGUUGGACUAUGAUUCUGGAGACCAGGGUUCGAUUCCUUGCUCAGCCA